GUCGAGAAUCUUCCGCAAUGCGCGAAAGCGUGACGGAGCGACACCGCGUGAUGGAUGAAGUCCUUCGGGGCGUAAACAUCUUUUAUAAAGGAGGAAAUUUUUGACGUUACUUUAUGAAUAAGGGGCUCCCAAUCUCGUGCCAGCAGGAGCGGUAAUACGAGAGCCUCAAGCGUUAUCCGGAAUCAUUGGGCGUAAAGGGUGCGUAGGUGGUUUGAUUAGUCUCCCGUUAAACCUUCGAGCUUAACUCGAAAAGAGCGGGGGAAACGGUCAAACUAGAGUAUGUGAGAGGUGUGUGGAACUCAUGGUGUAGGGGUGAAAUCCGUUGAUAUCAUGGGGAACACCAAAAGCGAAGGCAGCACACUGGCACAUCACUGACACUGAGGCACGAAACCUAAGGUAGCGAAUGGGAUUAGAUACCCUGGUAGUCC
This 428-nucleotide ribosomal RNA is filed under the name uncultured bacterium. RNAcentral's name for it is "partial 16S ribosomal RNA". It matches the Rfam family "Bacterial small subunit ribosomal RNA", at positions 354 to 796 of the family's 1533-position model. The record is from RNAcentral.